This 1776-nucleotide long non-coding RNA is filed under the name Piliocolobus tephrosceles (Ugandan red Colobus). RNAcentral's name for it is "lncRNA (ENSPTEG00000016728.1)". The record is from RNAcentral. Lineage: Eukaryota; Metazoa; Chordata; Mammalia; Primates; Cercopithecidae.
GACAUGAUAAAUGAAAAUGAAAUAAAAAGUGUUAGUGAUAGUGAUGAUAAUAGAAAUAAUAAUAAAAAUGAAUUAUUCUGGAACAAACUUAUAAAUGAUAAAAAUAGUAAUAAUGAAAAAAAACAAGUUGAUUAUUAUUAUAGUAACGAACAAGAAAAAAAUAAUUGGAAUGAUACUACAACAUAUUAUGAUUGUAUUUCGAAGGAAGAACUUGAGAACAAUUUCAUAAUUAAUAACAUUAAUAGCGACAUGCGCACCAAAUUAAAUAGCGACAUGAGCAUCAAAUUAAGUAGCGACAUGAGCACAAAAUUAAAUAGCGACAUUAGUAGUAAAAUAGAUAGCCACCAUUUGUAUACUAAUAAACACAAACAGAAAAGUAUAAAAUCAGAAAUAUUUCAAGAAACGAACAUAGAAAUGAAUAAAGAAAAAAAAAUAACAAAUUUAAAAACUAGUUCAAACGUAUCAACAAUGAAUAAUAUAAUAAUAAAGUCUGCACAAAAUGAAAAUACAGAAGAUAAACAAUAUUAUGAUCAAACAAUGAAAAAAAAAAUAAAAAAUGAUUUAAGAGUUAUUGAUCAAUAUAAUGAUAGUAAUAUUAAUAAAAAUAAUGAUAACAAUACUAGUACUGAUAUAAAAUUAUUUGAUAGCAAUAAAAAUGAUUAUUAUGCAAAGAACUAUGUGAAAACUGAUAAUGACAUGUUUAUAAACGGAAUAAAUGACGAUGAAUAUACAUUAAAUAAAUACAAUGUAGCAGAAAAAAUAGAAAAUAUAAAGAAGGGGAGAAAAAAUGACACAAUAUUAUACGAUACUAAUGAUAGCAAUAAAAACAAUGCAAAUGCAAAGGUGAAGAACGAAAAACAGCUUAAGAUAAACAUUGGAGAAAUUGGACAAAGUAUAAUCAAUAAACAAGUAAAUAAUAAUAAAAGUAGCCAAAAUGUCGAUAGUAGUAAUAAUGAUUAUAUUGACAUAAGCAUAAAUAACAUAAUACAAAACAUAAAAAAUGAAGAAAUAAAAGAAAAAAAUAUAACUAUGGACUCCUAUGGUUUAAUUUAUUUAAAUAUUUGUUUAAAAGUGAUAAAUAAAAAUUUAGAUUAUUUUGAAAAACGUAAAGAAUUAAAAAAUGAAUUAUUAAUAAAUGAAAAAAAAAAAAUUAAAGAAAUUUUAAAAUUAUAUGAUAAAUUAUUUUAUAAUCAUUUUAAAUUCAUUCCUAAUAAAAUUUAUAAAGAAACAUUAAGACCUAUUUAUUCAUAUUAUCAAAACUUGAAACAUACUAUUAUGGAUCCAAGUUUAAGUAGUACUACUCGUGAUAAGACUGUAGCAAAAAAAUGCUCACAAACCGUUGAUAACAACUUCCAGAUAGCCAGUAAGUCGAUUGAAAAUGUGAACGAGUUACAGAAAAAAGAGUCUGUCGACUCGUUCGGACAAUACAACAAUUUAUCUAGUUUUUCAGGCGUUAUAAAAGAUAUGAGCAUAAAAAAAAUAUUAAUGCAAGUAGAUGAUAGUUCAGACAUUAGACAUUUAGAAAAAGAUUACAAAUAUAUAUAUAAAGAUUUGGUUAAAUUAAAAGGCUUAUUAUUAAAAAAAAAACAUUACAAAAAUAUACUAUUUGAGUAUCAAAAACUUUUCCUUCAAACGAAUAAUAGAUAUGUAAGGACGUAUAAGGAUAUAUACCCAGUGGAAAAAGAAUAUAAGGUUUAUACACAAAUAAAAAAGGAAACGGUAGAAUUGAUCAGCACUAUCAAUGCAAAGUAUAAUAAGUAUUACUUGAGUUUGUGA